Molecule: ribosomal RNA, 219 nt
Filed under: Blastocystis sp.
Lineage: Eukaryota; Bigyra; Opalinata; Blastocystidae
Description: partial small subunit ribosomal RNA
Rfam family: Eukaryotic small subunit ribosomal RNA
Source: RNAcentral
GAUUAAGCCAUGCAUGUGUAAGUCUAAAUAGUUUUAGUGUGAAACUGCGAAUGGCUCAUUAUAUCAGUUAUAGUUUAUUUGGAUGAAUUUUUCUAUGGAUAACCGUAGUAAUUCUAGGGCUAAUACAUGUUAUAAUCUCUUUGAGAUUUUCUUAUUAGAAUAAAACCAAUUGUAUUAGUGAGUAAUAAUAAUAGAAUCGAUCGCAUGCUUUUGUAGCGA